GAGGUCUGCUUUGACAAAAAGUGCUGAACUUACGACAACUUUGCAGCAAGUUGAUGUCCCAAGUAAAACUGCUGAUGGGAAAUCUAAAGAUGAUAAGAAAGAACCCGACAGCCUGAACUCUCCACAUGUGGCCAAAGAAACAACAGAAGCUACUGUUGUGAAAGAAAAGAAGCUUUUUCCAACCAAAAGAAGAUAUAAGGGUCCAAAGUGUUCCCCUGAACAUGUAACCAAGGAGGUGGCGGAGAGUAAGCAAGAUCCCGAAAGUCAGAAGUCUACAUUAAGCUCUGAAGAGCAAACUGAAACUGUUGUUGAGGAAGAAACUAAAGUCAUACCACCAAGGAGGAAAUCAAGGGGUUUGGAGGCAUCCAAAGUUCCAGAAAGUACAUUUCUACUACCCAAGGGAAUGUCAAAGAGUACAAAACCUCCUCAUGAACCUUUAGAGACUGACACACCUCAGACAACAAUAGAAUCAGAAGGUCUAAGAUCUACUUUAGGUUCCAAUGACAAAAACAAAAGUGUUGCUAUUGAAGAAACAAAGCUUGUACCAACCACAACUAAAUCAAAGAGUGGGGACUUUCCCACAGCUUCCGAAACCGUUGUUACCCAUGUUAUGUCACCUGCUGCUGAGCCUGAACAAAGUAAGAAAGAACUUGACAGUCAAAAGUCAUCAACUCUAGAUGUUGUCGAAGGAACAAUCAAAAACUACUGUUGUGGAUAAAGGUAGUCUUUCACUAACAAAAUUAGGUCAAGGGAUCCAAAACUUUCUUCAGAACUUACUACCACAGAGCUGACAAACACUAAGGAUACAUUUGACAAUCAGAAGCCAUCUUCGACUCCAGACGUUGUCACAGCAACGACUGAAAAGGGUCUGUUUCGGAGGAAGGUUAAACUUUCACCAACCAAAGAAAGUCAAAGGGUCUCAAACUUUCCCCAGAAACUGCUUCUACUGAUUCGACAAAGACCAAGGAAGAGCUGACAGACAGCAGCCCUCUUCAAACUCCAGAAGUUGCACAAAACCAACUGAAACGACUGUUGUUGAGAAAAGUAAACUAUCCCCAACCAAAAGAAAGUCACAGGAUCUUAAACUUUCUUCAGAGGCUUAUUACCACGGAGCUGACAAGACCAAGGAGGGAAUCUGACAGUCAGAGUCAUCUUCAACUAAACAAGUAGUUACAGCACCAACUGAAAUGGCUGUUGUUGAGAAAAGUACACUUUCGCCAACAAGUACAAGUACAUUACCUCAAACAAAACCAUCUCUCUCCACCAAGCCUACUGAUACACCACAUGUGGCAGACUACAUAGACAAGUUAUGUGAAAACACAAGUGAGACUCAGAAGAGAUAUCUGGUCCUUGAUCUGCCGGAGGUUGGAUUUACCCAGACAUACGAAAUAAAGCAAGAUCAGUCAAAGACUGCGGCUCAGAGUGAGCCGCACCCAACCUACCUCUGCUGUUUUUGGCUGGGUUCAGCCUUAUAAGGCUGAGGCAGAAUGUUCUAGAAUAAGCUCAAUUAAGCAAAACAUAAUAGAACCAAGUGGAACUCUUAGUCUCGUUCAGGAUAGACGAGAACAAGGUAAGGUUUAUGACUUCCAGAAAGAACUAGGUAAAAUGUCAACACAUGACAUUGAUGAUACACCUAAGACAAUCCACAUUGAGCCUGAAGUGCGCAUUGUAAAACGAGAUAUUCAGACAAGUCCAGAGGUGAAUGAAAACCCAUCUGUCACAAGUGCAAAAAUUACACCAGUACAAGGAAGUAUCCAGAGGGAAAUGGACCCAGAAAACAAAGCUGCUGCUGUUGUUAAGACAGAGAUGACUGCAUUUAAUAUUACUAAAAUACUAAAAAAAGUGCAAGAAAUCACUUUAUGAAAUUAUGGCGAUGUGACUCAAAGGGACAAUGCCCAACACUCUCCUUCUGAAGCAUUGCCUCAAGAUCAGGCAAGGACACAGAAUUGUGUAGAGAUAAGCAUAUCUGAGAAAGAUAUUGUGAAAACAAGCCAAACUGGGACUAAACAAACCAUGUUGGAAAAACCCAACAGGUCAAGGAACAGUCCGUAAAAGAGCAUCUACACCUUCCCCACAUGGCAUUGAACAUGUACAUAAGAGCUUUGAUGAAAAAAUCUGUUACUAUUUGAGAAGAUCACCAGGGGGCCUGAAGUGUGCAUUCCUACAACUGGAUAUGCCGACCAGUCUGCAGAAUUAUGAAUACACAUCAGUCACAAGAGCGAAAGAGCCGAGGAUAGAUAUUGUUCAAACGUGUAUCCAGAGCGAAAGGCUGCUGGAAAAGAAAGAUGUUUACCACUGCAGGUGUUAAGCCAGAGGAAUCUGCAGGGGAAGUUUACUAAGAUAAGGGUGCAGGAGGGCAGUCCUGAAUGUCAAGACAAUGUGCCUAAAAGAGAAUCUGCCCAACUCAAGACUUCUAGAUCUAAAUCAUUGCAACCACAUGAGACAGAGACAGACUUUAUCGAAAUAAGCUUAUAUGAACAAGACAUAGGUAAACCAAGCCAAACUGAUACUAAGAAAGGAGACUUGAAAACUGCCCAAGAUAGAGCGACAGAAAACAAAGUAUAUGGAGUCCAAGAAGGGCAUCCUAAAGUGUCAACACAGAGUAUCAAAGAUGUACCCAAGAUCCUGGAAGGAAAGCCUGCUAGGAUGCAGCAAAUCCAAUUAGAACCUCAAGUGUGCAUCCUUCAAGUAGAUAUACCAUCCACUCUCGGGAAAGAUGAAAACACGUCAGUCACAGGAGAAAAAGAGCCAAAGAUACAUGCUAAAGUGUUGAUAAAAGACGUACAUGAUUUGCCCCAGAGCAUAGAUCAAAGGUCUGUCAAAAUUGAGAACAUCCAAAAAGGCACUGAAGUGCAUAUUUUAAAACCAGGUACACAGAUCUCUAUAAAGGGGCAUGUUAUCCCCUCUGUAACGAUGAUUGAUAAAGAACAAACAAGUAUCCAGAACCAAGAAGUUGCAGAAAUAAAAACCUGUCUUCAGCUGAUGCUCAGCCAGAAAAGACUGCAGUCCAGAUGACCAAAGUAGAAGUGGGCAAAGGAUUGGUCAAGGAACAUGGUGUCCAAAAAGAACAACAACCGAGUACACAGGCCACUAAACAGGAGCAUAAAAUCAUGCCUGUUACGAUAGAAAAGUCAUCAAGGAUUGUUAAGAUCAAACAACUGGUUCAUCUGGGCACAAAAUUGCCAGAAAACAAAGAACCUUUCUUUCAGAUGUUGUUCAGCCAGAAAAGACUGCAGUCAAGAUGACAGGUUAGAAGUAUGCACAGGAACCUGGGGUCCAAGAGAGCAUCCUAUAGUUUGUACACCAGAUGUCAAGCCAGAGAAGGCUGCCAUUAAGACAAAAGAAACAAGUUCCACAAAUCCCCACUGAAAGUCAAAAGAAUGUUGCCCAGAGGGACUCCACUCAACUCACAUCAGUUGCUUUCUGCGGCAGUGAAGCCAAGUAAAGCAGAAAAAACACUUGCAGAAAUAAGCUCAUCCAAGCAAGAGAAAGUGCCAGAAAACAAAGACCAGACUUCAGCUGAUGUUGGGCCAGAAAAGGGCUUCAGUCAAGAUGACCAUGAUCGAGGUGAAGACCAAGGGAAACACCCAAAGGGGGGGAAAAGAUUGUGAAGUGCAAGAAGUGCAUGCUGAAGUAUCAACAAAGUGCAGGAUGCCCCCAGAGCCCUGGAGGAAAAGUCUGUUAAGACUCUAAAGAUGAACCCGUAUAGAAGUGCCAGAAAGCUUUACAGAUUCCCUGUCUGAACCAAGUUAGUCCCUAGCGCACUAACGGAGAGACAAGCAACGUAUGCAAAGGACAUUAGAGGAAGAAAAGAAGGAGGGGAAGAAGAGGACAACUCAGGAAGAGGAAAGGGAAAAAAUGGUCACUCUAGGAAAACAAAUGUUCCACUCCCGAUGGCCAAAACUCCCACCACUGCUGACGUGAGGAACAAUGGAUGCAACACAGGUGAACACGGCUGACAAGAUACAAACUGCAUCACUGCAGGCAGUUCAUACAUCAGGCAUUAUCUGGAGGGAUGGUAACUCUGGUGGAAGGCUCCCCCUCUCAGGUAAACAAAGCUCAAGCUUGCAACGACUGUUAGGAAGCCUGAGAAACUUGUUCUGGAGGAACCAGAACAAGUUAUUUCCACCAUGAGGAAAGUCUUCACGGAAGUACAGUUACUCUCAGGGACAGGACCUACGAGUCCACUAUCAGAGGGUAAACCACUGGAAGGGGCUCCAGAGGCUCUGAUUUCAUCCACCAGUGAUCUGGAGAACCGUCUGAGCAGGCUGGUGUCUAGAGUCCUUAGCUGCAAGAAUUACCCAGCUGAACUCAGCUCAGCAGCCAUGGCCAAACAGCUGGAGGAAGCUCAGGAGUGCAGAGGACACUGCCAGGCACAAGUGUCCUUGCUCUCUCAGUUGAGAGAAUCUGAAGCUGAGAAUAAAGAAGCUCUGGAGUGGUGUGGAGGACCAGUGGAGUACCGCAGUUUCAGGAUUGCAGCUGGCCGUCAUCCAGAGUAAAGAGGCCCCAACUGCAGCUGGUCAGAGAUUACUGCGCACAGUGUGAAGCAGCCAAGACCACCCUGGAGAGACUGGACAAGCAGAAACUGGAAGCUGUCAGGAUGUCCCCAGAGGAGAGCAUCCCAAAGGAAACGGAGCGACUACUCUCCUUACAGAGAAGCAUGGAGGAGAACAGAACAGUACUUGGGGAGUUGCUUUUUGACCUAUACCAAGUUGUCCUCCCACCUCAGCUGGUCUGAGCGAGCAACCGCACAGGACCGUGCGAUGAAGAGCCUGCAAGAGAAGGUGGAGGGGCCUGGAAAGAGCUGUUGGAGAGAAACCUGUAUCACACAAAGGUCCGUUUUUCAAGACACCAGCAGCCUUCUGUCUGCGCUAUCAGGUCCUUAAGAAACAUUUGGAGAGAAUUGACAAAGACCUUGAAGCCAAGUCUCCUACGGUUACUCAGUGGAACUGCAAGAAGGCGAAGCAGCUGAUGGUGGCAAAUGCAGAGGUUAAAGCUGCUCAGCAAACACACCUUCAUCUGCAGCAGCUGUCAGAUGUGCUACUCCCCAGCACACCGAUGUGAGAAGGAAACAACAGAAAUAAAGCAGGGGCCUUCAGAGAGUCAAAGGACCAAAUUCGCCAAACAGAGGAAACUCAUUUCAUCUCAAAACUCCAGAACAGCAGCAACCCCAUCAUGGAGAAAAUGCUCAUGGUGAUGAGGGAUGGCCUUUCCUGGGCGAAGCAGACAGAGAGUGACAUUGAAGGCAGGAGGGAAGAGGGUGGCUCUCCUCCCUGAGAAUGUGCACCGUCAGCUCAGAGAUCACAAGAAGAUGCAGUCCGAGGUCAUAACCAAACAGGGGCCAACUGGAGCUGCUGGUGGAGGAGGUGGAGGAGCUCCUUCCACAGCUGGACCAGGCUGAGGAGGUGCCGAUGGUGCGCUCAUCUCUGGAUUCCCUUCACAAACUAUCAGAGUCGACUACUGAGAAGCUAGCCAAGGCGGUGUGAGAGAGAUAGAGUCGGGGACUGCAGACCAGAGAGAAGCUUUCGGAGCAGAUUGCUGAUCUAGAGUCCUGGGUUUUUGGCUCAUCUCCAUAAAGAAGCCUCCAGGAGUCCGGACAGCGAGCUCAAGGGCCCCAUGCUGACACUGAGCGCAGAGUCCGUCAGAUCCAAGAGACUCUGGCUGAGGCUGAGAAGCAAGCCGCUGUCUGCGAAGCUCUUUUAAUGAAGAGCAAAGACAUUGCCCUGAACUCAGCAUCAGCGAGGAACUGUUCAGCUUUAUGACAAGCUUACUAACCUCCAGGAGGACAUCAGAGCCAUCAGCAGCUAUGAGAAAGCCACCAAAAAAGGAGCUUGACGAUCUCACCCAGAAUUUAGAUUCCAGCAAGGAAAACGUUGUCAAAAUUGAAACAAGCCUGAGGCAGAUGUUUAGUAGAAUCUGAGUAGACACCGGUUUCCCCCAUCACAAAGCGAGUCCCUGCAAGCUCUUUUGAGCGUUUCAAACACAUGAUUUUGGAGCACAAGUCCCAGGCUGACCUUCUGCAACCCUUGAUUCCCCUGGAAAAGUCAAAGGAACUGUACUCGGUCAUUUCGGAACUCCUCCGCAAAAUGGUCACCCUGGAAAUGAUAGCCAAAGGUCACGAAACGUACCUGAACCAGAGGCAGUGUGUGGAGGACCUCAGGGAGAGCGUUCAGGAGCAAGUCAGUCACCACCAAAGACGACCAGGCACGGCGCUGGAGGACAAGUACAAAGUCUGUCAGGCCCUCCUCAUCCAGCUUCCUCUAAUCAGGUACAUGUCUGAGGAGGCUGGGAUCCAAACUCGAGAUGAUCUCCGCUGACAUUCUACCCCUCCACAAGCUGAGCACAGAGCGGCAUAGACUGAAGAAAAACGAGGAGAGCCUUGACACCUUGGAAUUGACGCUCUUACCAACAACCUCAGCAUUAUCGAGUUGAACCUGCUGAAGGAGCUGGACCUGGACUCAGAGAAGGUGGCCACUCAGGGCCUUCCUCUUGAAGACCCAGCAGGAGCUCCAGACAAUCCCCUCAUUGGAAGCCAAAUGAAACAGUAAUUAACAACGAAUACCAAAGAGUCAUGUCUUUCAAAAUACUGUACAGUCAAGAAUGAGAGCAUGGAGCUUCUCGAGCAGAAGAAAGGAAACAGAAAGGGAGCGGAUUUCCAAGAUGUGAUGGACUUGAAGAAAUCGGUCUUCAGCGAAUGCGACCAUCAAAU
Molecule: long non-coding RNA, 6709 nt
Organism: Trematomus bernacchii (emerald rockcod)
Lineage: Eukaryota; Metazoa; Chordata; Actinopteri; Perciformes; Nototheniidae
Exons: 5
Source: RefSeq, a predicted model, not a curated record